Lagopus leucura (white-tailed ptarmigan) is the source of this 378-nucleotide long non-coding RNA. RefSeq lists it as uncharacterized. The record is from RefSeq and is a predicted model, not a curated record. The transcript is spliced from 2 exons. NCBI's taxonomy places the organism in Eukaryota, Metazoa, Chordata, Aves, Galliformes, Phasianidae.
GAGAUCUCUGCCUAUCUGAGGCCUUCUGAAGAUUGGAUGCUGAUGAAGGAAUAGUUUCAACACCAACACACCCUCCCACAUGCCUGUGCUACCAGAGCCAAGCUCUCAGCUCUGCAGCACUGGAUAUUGGCUUCCUGAGGAUGACGACCUGAGGGCUGGGCAGGAUGGUUCAUUUCUCUCCAAAAAAGAGGAAGAAAGCUGCUUGGAGAUCCAGCCUUAGUGAUGGUGCAGUAGGGUGGGUGUGCUUACAGCUCUCAGGAUUGCGGCCCAAGAAUGCUCUUAGCAGAGGCACCUUAGGGAAACAAAAGGUCUUUCAUACUUUAUUGCCCUCAGGGAAAAAUCUUACAGGAGGGCUACAGCACUGAUCACGGUGUAGAU